RNAcentral lists this Y RNA (112 nucleotides) under Microcebus murinus (gray mouse lemur). Its description in RNAcentral is "Y RNA (ENSMICG00000047074.1)". It matches the Rfam family "Y RNA". Rfam says of the family: Y RNAs are components of the Ro ribonucleoprotein particle (Ro RNP), in association with Ro60 and La proteins. The Y RNAs and Ro60 and La proteins are well conserved, but the function of the Ro RNP is not known. Lineage: Eukaryota; Metazoa; Chordata; Mammalia; Primates; Cheirogaleidae. The record is from Rfam by way of RNAcentral.
GGCUGGUCCAAUGGUAGUGAGUUAUCUCACGUGAUUGUUCAGUCAGUUACAGAUUGAACUCCUUGUUCUACUACUUUCCCUCCUCCUCACUACUGCACUUGACUAGUCUUCA